Molecule: ribosomal RNA, 437 nt
Filed under: Epactoides sp. BMNH669960
Lineage: Eukaryota; Metazoa; Arthropoda; Insecta; Coleoptera; Scarabaeidae
Description: partial 16S ribosomal RNA
Source: RNAcentral
UUUUUGAUUAUAAUUUAAAGUCUAACCUGCCCUAUGAGUUAUUAAAUGGCUGCGGUAUUUUGACCGUGCAAAGGUAGCAUAAUAAUUAGUUUUUUAAUUGGGAACUGGAAUGAAUGGUUGGACGAGAAAAAUACUGUCUCAAUUUAAAUUUAAUUAGAAUUUUAUUUUUAAGUAAAAAAGCUUAAAUAAAUUUAAAAGACGAGAAGACCCUAUAGAGUUUUAUAUAAAAUAUAAUAUUUGAAAGUUAAAGUAUAAUAAUUUUAUUUAUUAUUUUUUUGUAUUUAAUUGGGGUGAUUGAAAAAUUUAAUUAACUUUUUUUUAUUAAAAUCAUAAAUUUAUGAAUAAUUGAUCCAUUAUUAAUGAUUAUAAGAUUAAAUUACCUUAGGGAUAACAGCGUAAUUUUUUUUUAGAGUUCUAAUCGAAAAAAAAGUUUGCGA